AAAGGUCAUGGCUCAGUGGUAUAGCAUUUGCUUUGCAUGCAGAAGGUCCUGGGUUCAAUCCCUGGGAUCUUCA
Molecule: non-coding RNA, 73 nt
Organism: Podarcis lilfordi (Lilford's wall lizard)
Lineage: Eukaryota; Metazoa; Chordata; Lepidosauria; Squamata; Lacertidae
Source: the annotation of a GenBank genome assembly